AUACUCUGUUUUCUCUUCAGAUCACAAAUCUUUCCCCUUUUAUUAAAGAUUUCUUUGGAGAGGAAGAAUUCUGAGUCUUAAACAAGGUUUUGAGUCCUUAUUUUUUACCAGGGC
Molecule: small nuclear RNA, 114 nt
Organism: Perognathus longimembris pacificus (Pacific pocket mouse)
Lineage: Eukaryota; Metazoa; Chordata; Mammalia; Rodentia; Heteromyidae
Product: U5 spliceosomal RNA
Exons: 1
Source: RefSeq, a predicted model, not a curated record